Molecule: ribosomal RNA, 221 nt
Filed under: uncultured crenarchaeote
Lineage: Archaea; Thermoproteati; Thermoproteota
Description: partial 16S ribosomal RNA
Rfam family: Archaeal small subunit ribosomal RNA
Source: RNAcentral
CGGUAAUACCAGCUCUCCGAGUGGUGUGGAUGUUUAUUGGGCCUAAAGCAUCCGUAGCUGGCCAAGUUAGUCCCUUGUUAAACCCACCGAAUUAAUCGUUGGCGUGCGGGGGAUACUGCUCGGCUAGGGGACGAGAGAGGCAGACGGUAUUUUCGGGGUAGGGGUGAAAUCCUAUAAUCCCGGGAAGACCACCAGUGGCGAAGGCUGUCGGCUAGAACGCG